Molecule: long non-coding RNA, 230 nt
Filed under: Mus spicilegus (steppe mouse)
Lineage: Eukaryota; Metazoa; Chordata; Mammalia; Rodentia; Muridae
Description: lncRNA (ENSMSIG00000025774.1)
Source: RNAcentral
AAGACCUCAGGAUUUCUGAAUGACAAGCUUCAUAAGAUAAGAUGAAGCUGUGACAAGCACAUGGGUCACCACAAUCAAGUGUCUCUGUGAAGGAGCUGGGAGCAGGAUCAGCUACCUCCAUGAAAGUACUACAGAAUCUUACAAUCCUUGUAAGAUGAAACAGAGAAGAGCCAACAACUGCGGUUCUAAUAAAGAUGAUGAGAAGAAAAAAAGAUGGUCAUUAAAAGGCA